This 256-nucleotide ribosomal RNA is filed under the name uncultured bacterium. RNAcentral describes it as "partial 16S ribosomal RNA". It matches the Rfam family "Bacterial small subunit ribosomal RNA", at positions 524 to 775 of the family's 1533-position model. The record is from RNAcentral.
GACGUAGGUGGCGAACGUUUAUCCGGAAUUAUUGGGCGUAAAGGGUGCGUAGGCGGCAUGAUAAGUUAUUGGCGGCAAAUCGAGGCUCAACCUCGUGGAAACUGAUAAUACUGUCUUGCUUGAGUGCAGAAGAGGUUAACGGAACUCCAUGUGGAGCGGUAAAAUGUGUAGAUAUAUGGAAGAACAUCAAUAACGGCGAAGGCAGUUAACUAUUCUGUUACUGACGUUGAGGCACGAAAGCGUGGGGAGCAAAAGG